ACUACGGGUGGCAGCAGUGAGGAAUAUUGGUCAAUGGGCGGGAGCCUGAACCAGCCAAGUCGCGUGAGGGAAGAAGGUACUGAGUAUUGUAGACCUCUUUUGCCAGGGGACAAAGGCGGCGACGGGUGGCCGUAAGAGGGUACCUGGAGAAAAAGCAUCGGCUAACUCCGUGCCAGCAGCCGCGGUAAUACGGAGGAUGCGAGCGUUAUCCGGAUUUAUUGGGGUUAAAGGGUGCGCAGGCGGUGUGUCAAGUCAGCGGUAAAAGGGCGGGGCUCAACCCCGCCGGGCCGUUGAAACUGGCGGGCUCGAGUUCGGCAGAAGUAUGCGGAAUUCGUGGUGUAGCGGUGAAAUGCAUAGAUAUCACGAAGAACCCCGAUUGCGAAGGCAGCAUACCGGCUCCACACUGACGCUGAGGCACGAAAGCGUGGGUAUCGAACAGGAUUAGAUACCCCUGUAGUC
This 459-nucleotide ribosomal RNA is filed under the name uncultured bacterium. RNAcentral describes it as "partial 16S ribosomal RNA". It matches the Rfam family "Bacterial small subunit ribosomal RNA", at positions 338 to 795 of the family's 1533-position model. The record is from RNAcentral.